RNAcentral lists this ribosomal RNA (468 nucleotides) under uncultured bacterium. RNAcentral's name for it is "partial 16S ribosomal RNA". It matches the Rfam family "Bacterial small subunit ribosomal RNA", at positions 28 to 507 of the family's 1533-position model. The record is from RNAcentral.
GACGAACGCUGGCGGCGUGCUUAACACAUGCAAGUCGAACGGAAAGGCCCUGCUUUUGUGGGGUGCUCGAGUGGCGAACGGGUGAGUAACACGUGAGUAACCUGCCCUUGACUUUGGGAUAACUUCAGGAAACUGGGGCUAAUACCGGAUAGGAGCUCCUGCUGCAUGGUGGGGGUUGGAAAGUUUCGGCGGUUGGGGAUGGACUCGCGGCUUAUCAGCUUGUUGGUGGGGUAGUGGCUUACCAAGGCUUUGACGGGUAGCCGGCCUGAGAGGGUGACCGGCCACAUUGGGACUGAGAUACGGCCCAGACUCCUACUGGAGGCAGCAGUGGGGAAUAUUGCACAAUGGGCGGAAGCCUGAUGCAGCAACGCCGCGUGCGGGAUGACGGCCUUCGGGUUGUAAACCGCUUUCGCCUGUGACGAAGCGUGAGUGACGGUAAUGGGUAAAGAAACACCGGCUAACUACGUG